UACAGAGGGUGCGAGCGUUAAUCGGAAUUACUGGGCGUAAAGCGUGCGUAGACGGUUAUUUAAGUCGGGUGUGAAAGCCCCGGGCUCAACCUGGGAAUUGCAUUCGAGACUGAACAGCUAGGGUACGGUAGAGGGAAGUGGAAUUCCUGGUGUAGCGGUGAAAUGCGCAGAUAUCAGGAGGAACACCAGCGGCGAAGGCGGCGCUCUGGGCCGGUACUGACGCUGAGGAGCGAAAGCGUGGGUAGCAAACAGG
This 253-nucleotide ribosomal RNA is filed under the name uncultured bacterium. Its description in RNAcentral is "partial 16S ribosomal RNA". It matches the Rfam family "Bacterial small subunit ribosomal RNA", at positions 524 to 776 of the family's 1533-position model. The record is from RNAcentral.